UAGCAGGUACAGAAUUCUAUCUGUACAACUUGCAUUUUUAAAUAAAGUGCUCUUGUUCAUAUUAGGGGGUCGUGAAGAUCCUACUCGCGAGUAUUUGCACUCGGAAGGGUUAUGAUGACUAUAGAAUAAUCAGACAUAGUACGAUAAGGUUGUAUGUCUAAAGGGAAACAGCCCAGAACAAGAGUUAAUAAGGUUCCAAAAUUAUUGUUAAGUGAAAAUAAGGAAGUUUUAAUCCAAUACGGCCAGGAAAUAGGCUUAGAAGCGGCCAUUUUUUAAAGAUCUCGUAACAGAGCACUGGUUUAGUAAAUUAUUUUAAUAAUUUAUAUUGAUAAAAGCACCAAAAAUUUAACGGAUCUAAACAAUAUACCGAUACCUUGUCCAUAUUUACCUAUAUAUCUAAGUUAUAUAUUGUAUUUAUGGGGUAGCGGAACAUUGGGCAAAUCUAAGAUUUUUUCUUUUUAAGACUUAAUAUAAGAUAACCCAAGUGAUAAUGCUGACAUGAGUAACGAUAAAGGGAAUGAACUAUUCCCUCGCCUAAAACUUAUGGAAUUUACUUAAAGUAACGGCCUCUAAGUUUAUGAUCUUUUGCUUUUGUAGAAAAUUAUAUUUUAAAAUAAACUAAUAAGAUGAUUAAAAUAUAAGCUUUUUACAGGGAUAAAAGGAGCCUAAAGGACUAAACGAUGAGAAAAUCUGUUAACACUUACAAAAAAUAACCUUUGUGCAUAGACUUGAAUAAUAUAGGUUUGUGUGUGAAAAGUGACGAAGGUGCUGGAAAAGUGUAAGUGAUGCAUCAAAGGAUGGUAGGCGGGAAGACGCAAUCCCGGUUGCGUCCUACUGUCUACUACUUUGAGAUGGUAGUUGGAGUCAAUCUCCUGCUAUACGACCGUACCUAGAAACUUACCCCAGUAGUAUAAGA
This 916-nucleotide ribosomal RNA is filed under the name Xylopsora friesii. RNAcentral describes it as "LSU rRNA". The stretch from base 1 to 498 matches the Rfam family "Bacterial large subunit ribosomal RNA", at positions 896 to 1301 of the family's 2925-position model. The record is from RNAcentral. Lineage: Eukaryota; Fungi; Ascomycota; Lecanoromycetes; Umbilicariales; Umbilicariaceae.